RNAcentral lists this long non-coding RNA (773 nucleotides) under Bos taurus (domestic cattle). RNAcentral describes it as "long non-coding RNA NONBTAT000012". Lineage: Eukaryota; Metazoa; Chordata; Mammalia; Artiodactyla; Bovidae. The record is from RNAcentral.
UUACCAGCUAAAAUGGGGCCUGUGGGCUCUUCCCUACGAUUGAACUGGAGAAACAGGAACAGACUUGUAGGUUUCUGUGGGUGGAGCAUUUUGACAAACUUAUGCUUUAAGCUGUAGAGCCUUUGGGUUAUUUUUUUUAAUCAUAAAUCUGUAGGAAAUUUUACCUCCUGUCAAUAGCACCCUGAGAUCAUGGAGAAAUCUCACAUUUUAAUAGGGCAAAUACUAAUCUUUAAUCUUUGUAUAAGUUUAAUAAGCUUAAUGAAGGUAUUUUUUCAUAUGCCUGACUACCUUCAUUUUAAUAGAGCAGAAUUCGAUCCAGGUGUCACAAGCAUCAAACAAAGUGAGACAUCUGCCAAAUCAACUACUUUUUGCUUUUCACAUUGAUUGUAAGAGUCUAAAGGAUUCUUUUGCCUGUUGUGUUACAAGACUAGGUUAGAUGAAAUCUAUGAAUAUGCCUGCAAAAGAAGAAAAAUAAUGUGUUUUCUUGCACUCGGCAUUGCCCUUAUUUUACUCCUCACUUCAUUUGAAUAGUUAGCCCCUGUUUAUUGGCAAUGAAUAAAUACAUUUCUCUCUUGGAUCUUGCCUAUACAUCAAAAGAUAGGAAAACUCUCAGAAUGGAGACAAGGGACUACCUUUUUCCCACUCUGCUCUGUUCCAUAUAUUUAUCUUAGGGAUAGUCAACUUUAAUAAUAAUAUGGAAAGAAGAUUCAAGCGGGUGUAGACUAAUGGAACAUGGUUUAGAAGAAUUAGCCUGAGCACUUUGAGGGAGAGAG